This 1554-nucleotide ribosomal RNA is filed under the name Escherichia coli. RNAcentral's name for it is "bacterial SSU rRNA". It matches the Rfam family "Bacterial small subunit ribosomal RNA". Lineage: Bacteria; Pseudomonadati; Pseudomonadota; Gammaproteobacteria; Enterobacterales; Enterobacteriaceae. The record is from RNAcentral.
AAAUUGAAGAGUUUGAUCAUGGCUCAGAUUGAACGCUGGCGGCAGGCCUAACACAUGCAAGUCGAACGGUAACAGAAAGCAGCUUGCUGCUUUGCUGACGAGUGGCGGACGGGUGAGUAAUGUCUGGGAAACUGCCCGAUGGAGGGGGAUAACUACUGGAAACGGUAGCUAAUACCGCAUAACGUCGCAAGACCAAAGAGGGGGACCUUMGGGCCUCUUGCCAUCGGAUGUGCCCAGAUGGGAUUAGCUAGUAGGUGGGGUAAAGGCUCACCUAGGCGACGAUCCCUAGCUGGUCUGAGAGGAUGACCAGCCACACUGGAACUGAGACACGGUCCAGACUCCUACGGGAGGCAGCAGUGGGGAAUAUUGCACAAUGGGCGCAAGCCUGAUGCAGCCAUGCCGCGUGUAUGAAGAAGGCCUUCGGGUUGUAAAGUACUUUCAGCGGGGAGGAAGGGAGUAAAGUUAAUACCUUUGCUCAUUGACGUUACCCGCAGAAGAAGCACCGGCUAACUCCGUGCCAGCAGCCGCGGUAAUACGGAGGGUGCAAGCGUUAAUCGGAAUUACUGGGCGUAAAGCGCACGCAGGCGGUUUGUUAAGUCAGAUGUGAAAUCCCCGGGCUCAACCUGGGAACUGCAUCUGAUACUGGCAAGCUUGAGUCUCGUAGAGGGGGGUAGAAUUCCAGGUGUAGCGGUGAAAUGCGUAGAGAUCUGGAGGAAUACCGGUGGCGAAGGCGGCCCCCUGGACGAAGACUGACGCUCAGGUGCGAAAGCGUGGGGAGCAAACAGGAUUAGAUACCCUGGUAGUCCACGCCGUAAACGAUGUCGACUUGGAGGUUGUGCCCUUGAGGCGUGGCUUCCGGAGCUAACGCGUUAAGUCGACCGCCUGGGGAGUACGGCCGCAAGGUUAAAACUCAAAUGAAUUGACGGGGGCCCGCACAAGCGGUGGAGCAUGUGGUUUAAUUCGAUGCAACGCGAAGAACCUUACCUGGUCUUGACAUCCACGGAAGUUUUCAGAGAUGAGAAUGUGCCUUCGGGAACCGUGAGACAGGUGCUGCAUGGCUGUCGUCAGCUCGUGUUGUGAAAUGUUGGGUUAAGUCCCGCAACGAGCGCAACCCUUAUCCUUUGUUGCCAGCGGUCCGGCCGGGAACUCAAAGGAGACUGCCAGUGAUAAACUGGAGGAAGGUGGGGAUGACGUCAAGUCAUCAUGGCCCUUACGACCAGGGCUACACACGUGCUACAAUGGCGCAUACAAAGAGAAGCGACCUCGCGAGAGCAAGCGGACCUCAUAAAGUGCGUCGUAGUCCGGAUUGGAGUCUGCAACUCGACUCCAUGAAGUCGGAAUCGCUAGUAAUCGUGGAUCAGAAUGCCACGGUGAAUACGUUCCCGGGCCUUGUACACACCGCCCGUCACACCAUGGGAGUGGGUUGCAAAAGAAGUAGGUAGCUUAACCUUCGGGAGGGCGCUUACCACUUUGUGAUUCAUGACUGGGGUGAAGUCGUAACAAGGUAACCGUAGGGGAACCUGCGGUUGGAUCACCUCCUUACCUUAAAGAAGC